This 483-nucleotide ribosomal RNA is filed under the name uncultured bacterium. RNAcentral's name for it is "partial 16S ribosomal RNA". It matches the Rfam family "Bacterial small subunit ribosomal RNA", at positions 28 to 507 of the family's 1533-position model. The record is from RNAcentral.
GAUGAACGCUGGCGGCGUGCCUAACACAUGCAAGUCGAACGAAGCUUGACGGAUGAUUUCUUCGGAAUGAAACCAGAUAUGACUUAGUGGCGGACGGGUGAGUAACACGUGAGCAACCUGCCUUUCAGAGGGGGAUAACGGCUGGAAACGGUCCCUAAUACCGCAUGAUGUGUUCGGAUGGCAUCAUCUGAACAUCAAAGAUUUAUCGCUGAAAGAUGGGCUCGCGUCUGAUUAGAUAGUUGGUGGGGUAACGGCCUACCAAGUCUACGAUCAGUAGCCGGACUGAGAGGAUGAACGGCCACGUUGGGACUGAGAUACGGCCCAGACUCCUACGGGAGGCAGCAGUGGGGAAUAUUGCACAAUGGGGGAAACCCGGAUGCAGCAACGCCGCGUGAAGGAUGACGGUUUUCGGAUUGUAAACAUCUUUUCUUAGUGACGAAGACAGUGACGGUAGCUAAGGAAUAAGCAUCGGCUAACUACGUG